This 721-nucleotide small RNA is filed under the name Arabidopsis thaliana (thale cress). RNAcentral describes it as "ATSL195730". The record is from RNAcentral. Lineage: Eukaryota; Viridiplantae; Streptophyta; Magnoliopsida; Brassicales; Brassicaceae.
AACAAAUGCAUUGAGCUCUUAAUCACUUUCUAAUGAAUUCUUUUGUUCUACAUAUAUCAUGAAUCAUGACAAAUAACAUUCAAUACCUACAUACAACUUAACAAAAUUACAUUUUUUAAUAAAAAAAGCCCGCGAUUUGGUUCGGGUUUCGCCCUAGUACUAACUAGAGAAGAAAGAGAUUUUCGAAGAAAAAAUAUGGAACAUGUGAAAAGUUUAGAAGGUAUGACACAUAUUGCUUAAACAAAAUCAUAAGAGGAUGGAAAGAGACACUGUAAGAAAAAAUGAAACAAAUAAAACGAGUGCUUGCAAAAAGAUAGGGAGAGUGAUAGCUCUUUGUAAAAAAAUUGUGAAGACAGAAAUUCAUAUACAUAUUGAAAAGAAUGUGAGAAAAUAUGAGUUGUUAAAGUAAAGUAUAGAUAAGCUUAUGAAUAUACUUCUAUAUAAUAUCUUAUUUUUAGACGAGCUAUACUAACUAAUGCAGCGAAGAUAAACAAAAAAGAAUAGUAAAUUUACGGAUUUCAAAAUGAGAAAGUCGUCGAAGUUAUUUUCCAUAAAACAAUUUAUUUCAUACAUAAAAAGACGUCGUGAUCCUAAAUAUCUAAAGCUAAAGAGAGAGUCAUGAGCCAAAAAAAUGUUCUUUUGAUAAAUGUUGUAAACCUAAAAGUUGUAUUAAAGUUAUUUUUAGUUUUGUAUUUAAAUUGUAACUAUUGUCAUGGUAAUU